Molecule: ribosomal RNA, 406 nt
Filed under: uncultured bacterium
Lineage: Bacteria
Description: partial 16S ribosomal RNA
Rfam family: Bacterial small subunit ribosomal RNA
Source: RNAcentral
AUUGAACGCUGGCGGCAGGCCUAACACAUGCAAGUCGAGCGAGCGGAGGACGGGUGAGUAAUGUCUGGGAAACUGCCUGAUGGAGGUGGAUAACUACUGGAAACGGUAGAUAAUACCGCAUACCAUCAGAUGUGCCCAGAUGGGGUUAGCUAGUCGGUUGGGUAAUGGCUCACCUAGGCGACGAUCCCUAGCUGGUCUGAGAGGAGGACCAGCCACACUGGAACGGAGACACGGUCCAGACUCCUACGGGAGGCAGCAGUGGGGAAUAUUGCACAAUGGGCGCAAGCCUGAUGCAGCCAUGCCGCGUGUGUGAAGAAGGCCUUCGGGUUGUAAAGCACUUUCAGCGGGGAGGCGUUACCCGCAGAAGAAGCACCGGCUAACUACGUGCCAGCAGCCGCGGUAAUAC